GACGAACGCUGGCGGCGUGCUUAACACAUGCAAGUCGAACGGAAAGGCCCUGCUUUUGUGGGGUGCUCGAGUGGCGAACGGGUGAGUAACACGUGAGUAACCUGCCCUUGACUUUGGGAUAACUUCAGGAAAAUGGGGCUAAUACCGGAUAGGAGCUCCUGCUGCAUGGUGGGGGUUGGAAAGUUUCGGCGGUUGGGGAUGGACUCGCGGCUUAUCAGCUUGUUGGUGGGGUAGGGGCUUACCAAGGCUUUGAAGGGUAGGCGGCCUGAGAGGGUGACCGGCCACAAUGGGACUGAGAUACGGCCCAGACUCCUACGGGAGGCAGCAGUGGGGAAUAUUGCACAAUGGGCGGAAGCCUGAUGCAGCAACGCCGCGUGCGGGAUGACGGCCUUCGGGUUGUAAACCGCUUUCGCCUGUGACGAAGCGUGAGUGACGGUAAUGGGUAAAGAAGCACCGGCUAACCACGUG
This 468-nucleotide ribosomal RNA is filed under the name uncultured bacterium. RNAcentral describes it as "partial 16S ribosomal RNA". It matches the Rfam family "Bacterial small subunit ribosomal RNA", at positions 28 to 507 of the family's 1533-position model. The record is from RNAcentral.